Long non-coding RNA from Priapulus caudatus, 505 nucleotides. RefSeq lists it as uncharacterized. The record is from RefSeq and is a predicted model, not a curated record. The transcript has 4 exons. Lineage: Eukaryota; Metazoa; Priapulida; Priapulimorpha; Priapulimorphida; Priapulidae.
AACUUAAAUCUAACCUAAUUCUUUAGCCUGCCAGUAUGUUCAACAUAUGAAGCGCGCAUAUAUGAAUGAAUCACUUGGACUUUCGUCACGCCGUGACGGGCUUCUCUCUUGCGAGAUAUAUCACGGUCAGUAUACACGUGGUCCGAAGAGUCCCCGCCAUGUUCUCUCUGUGUUUCUGUCGUCAAAGAUUCAAGCUGUGAUCAAGACACAACUUCGAAUGCGCACAAUUACAGCUAACCAUAUAAAUGGAUUAAUCAGGAUAACACACACAUACCUGACUGAGUUAAAUUUCUAUAUGUCAGGCAUUGUCCAUCGCCAGACUGGAGGAUACGGAGAUUUAUGACGUUUUCGAGGCAGCGUCGUGCAAUGAUUGAGUGGUUACCGGUCUCCAGUUGAACAUACCAAGAGGUGCACAGAGAUAUACUGCAAAUCACGUCGCUGAAGGACACGGAGAAUCAACAUGUUUUCGAGGCAACGUCGUGCACCGCUCGCCAGUUGAGCAUAC